GCCGGGCCCUGUAGAGGUCACAUAACAGACUUGCAUCUUAUUCGUCAUGUCACACAAUGAGGUUUGUGUCUGAUUGGUUAAUUCUUGGUACCAGAAAUCCUUAUGUACAAGUAUAGGCACCUGAUUUUUUAAAAAAGUCACUUUGGAGCAAA
Molecule: long non-coding RNA, 152 nt
Organism: Phyllostomus discolor (pale spear-nosed bat)
Lineage: Eukaryota; Metazoa; Chordata; Mammalia; Chiroptera; Phyllostomidae
Exons: 3
Source: RefSeq, a predicted model, not a curated record